Molecule: long non-coding RNA, 550 nt
Filed under: Cervus hanglu yarkandensis (Yarkand deer)
Lineage: Eukaryota; Metazoa; Chordata; Mammalia; Artiodactyla; Cervidae
Description: lncRNA (ENSCHYG00000003281.1)
Source: RNAcentral
UUGUACAGGAAAUUGAACCAUGUACCCCAUGCAAGUGCCUGCAAUUAAACACUUGGCUGGACUGACAUUUUCUUAUUUGGGAGCAGUGCGUACAAAGCUGUGACUUUUGGAGACACAUUUGCAAGGAAGUGGCAAGUGAAGCUGGCAGCUAACCUGGGUUAAAAAUGAGGUUCUAAAGUGCAGUUCGAACUUGUGUUCUUAAAAGACCUAUCUGCCACAUGAAAGGAUGGUCCUUCCAACCAUCGGCUCUGGCUUUGCUGAACUCGUCAAACCAUGUCUUAUCAUAGUGCCUAGAUACAAAGAUAACUGCAAAUAUCAUGUCAGAAGUCACAUUUUAUGGGCUCUUGACUGUGCUUGGUGGAGCCCUGAUACCUGGAGCCCCGCCUGUGGGACCACUUCCCUCCCCAGCGCACAGCCUUAGUAGUGGGAGGACCAGCUAAGACCUAAGUCAAGACCUUAUCCUUGAGGCUCCCAGGGUGACCUGAUGAUGACCUGGGCUCGGUAGUGACUGGCCCAGCUCCUUGAGUGAAGAGGACAGCACGGGCUUUAU